RNAcentral lists this small RNA (135 nucleotides) under Pseudomonas sp. UC 17F4. RNAcentral describes it as "Pseudomonas sRNA P18". It matches the Rfam family "Pseudomonas sRNA P18". The record is from RNAcentral. Lineage: Bacteria; Pseudomonadati; Pseudomonadota; Gammaproteobacteria; Pseudomonadales; Pseudomonadaceae.
GGCGGUGUGUUGCUCAGUCCGUUUCUGCUGUAUGUGUUGUUGGCCUUGCUGCUGACCGGGGUGUUGCGCCUGUUGUUGCGCUACACGCCGUUGGGGCGCUGGGUCUGGCAUGAGGCGUUGUUCGACUGCGCGCUG